CAUUCCAUGUCUUCUGUCUGAACUGUUAAUAACAAAAGUUUAAAACUUUCAACAACGGAUCUCUUGGUUCUCGCAUCGAUGAAGAACGCAGCGAAAUGCGAUAAGUAGUGUGAAUUGCAGAAUUCAGUGAAUCAUCGAAUCUUUGAACGCACAUUGCGCCUCCUGGUAUUCCGGGAGGCAUGCCUGUUCGAGCGUCAUUAAAAACCACUCAAGCUCUUUUGCUUGGUCAUGGAAGAAGAGUCCGCUUGCCGGUCUCCCUUUCGAAAUGCAAUGGCGGAAGGUCUCUUGUACCCAGCGUAGUAAUAACUUUUCGCUUUGUGCAUUGAUUCAUUCCUGCCGUCAAACCCCCAAUUUUCUUAGGUUGACCUCGGAUCAGGUAGGGAUACCCGCUGAACUUAAGCAUAUCAAUAAGCGGAGGAAAAGAAACCAACAGGGAUUGCCUUAGUAACUGCGAGUGAAGCGGCAAAAGCUCAAAUUUGAAAU
This 483-nucleotide ribosomal RNA is filed under the name Pezizomycetes sp. genotype 22. Its description in RNAcentral is "eukaryotic LSU rRNA". The stretch from base 44 to 197 matches the Rfam family "5.8S ribosomal RNA". The record is from RNAcentral. Lineage: Eukaryota; Fungi; Ascomycota; Pezizomycetes.